UGGCGGACGGGUGAGUAAUGUCUGGGAAACUGCCUGAUGGAGGGGGAUAACUACUGGAAACGGUAGCUAAUACCGCAUAACGUCGCAAGACCAAAGAGGGGGACCCUCGGGCCUCUUGCCAUCGGAUGUGCCCAGAUGGGAUUAGCUUGUUGGUGGGGUAACGGCUCACCAAGGCGACGAUCCCUAGCUGGUCUGAGAGGAUGACCAGCCACCACUGGAACUGAGACACGGUCCAGACUCCUACGGGAGGCAGCAUG
This 257-nucleotide ribosomal RNA is filed under the name uncultured bacterium. RNAcentral's name for it is "partial 16S ribosomal RNA". It matches the Rfam family "Bacterial small subunit ribosomal RNA", at positions 96 to 353 of the family's 1533-position model. The record is from RNAcentral.